Non-coding RNA from Rattus norvegicus (Norway rat), 663 nucleotides. The record is from RefSeq and is a predicted model, not a curated record. NCBI's taxonomy places the organism in Eukaryota, Metazoa, Chordata, Mammalia, Rodentia, Muridae.
AUUUGAGAACAACUGGAGCAAAAGGUAUCAUUCUGAUGUCCCUCCUAGAGGAAGUUUUGAAUGUGAGACACAGUUAAGUGUUAAUUUUGUGACAUCUUUCAUCAAAAGUAGCAUGGUUCAGAAUCAUUCUUUGUCAAAUAGGUUAGCUGCUGAGGACCUUUUUGAGUGGAAGUGGAGUUUGAGACCUGGGUGCCAGAGAUGACUUCAGGAAUUGUAAUUGAUGGAAAAAGGAAGAUCUUGACGCCUUUAAGAAAGAGAAAACUUUGAGAUCUGAUUGUGCAAAGAAAAUUUUCAUCAAAGGAGCAAGAAAUUCUUCAUAACUUCAACACAACAUGGCCUUUGGGAACAGAAUAAAACACAAAUAAGGAAAGGCGGAAAAUGAUUGACACAUGCACUGUUCUUGGUUUGAAAUUUAACAAUCAUGCUAGUUAUAGGAUACAGCUUUGAAAUUCGAGUCAAUGAGAGGAUGAAAAAUACUGAGGAAGAGUAGGUAAAUUGAAUUCUUGCUACAUGAACAAAAACACUGGAUCUGAAGGUAAGGUACAUUUUAUAUAAUGACCCUCGUCUUCUGACACUAUUUAUUCAAUGCUUUGGUAUUUGUUCAUAUAUUAUGUUCCAAAAACAUAUCAAUGAUUCUGGUUAUUCUUAAUUAAUGAACAUGCA